This 356-nucleotide ribosomal RNA is filed under the name Eukaryota sp. RNAcentral's name for it is "SSU rRNA". It matches the Rfam family "Eukaryotic small subunit ribosomal RNA", at positions 1325 to 1699 of the family's 1831-position model. The record is from RNAcentral.
UCGUUAACGAACGAGACCUCGACCUGCUAAAUAGUUGGGCGAACCUUUCGGGGUUUGCAUUGACUUCUUAGAGGGACUUUUGGUGAGUAGCCAAAGGAAGUUCGAGGCAAUAACAGGUCUGUGAUGCCCUUAGAUGUUCUGGGCCGCACGCGCGCUACACUGAUCGGUUCAUCGAGUUUACAACCUUGGCUGAUAGGCCUGGGUAAUCUUCUCAAAGCCGGUCGUGCUGGGGAUAGAUCAUUGCAAUUAUUGAUCUUCAACGAGGAAUUCCUAGUAAACGCGAGUCAUCAACUCGCAUUGAUUACGUCCCUGCCCUUUGUACACACCGCCCGUCGCUAAUACCGAUUGAAUGGAUA